Molecule: transfer RNA, 77 nt
Filed under: Candidatus Parendomicrobium reticulitermitis
Lineage: Bacteria; Pseudomonadati; Elusimicrobiota; Endomicrobiia; Endomicrobiales; Endomicrobiaceae
Description: tRNA-Arg
Rfam family: tRNA
About the family: Transfer RNA (tRNA) molecules are approximately 80 nucleotides in length.
Source: RNAcentral
GUCUCCGUAGCUCAAUUGGAUAGAGCAACUGCCUUCUAAGCAGUAGGUUAUGUGUUCAAAUCACAUCGGAGACGCCA